This 182-nucleotide microRNA precursor is filed under the name Oryza brachyantha (malo sina). RNAcentral describes it as "MIR812 microRNA precursor family". It matches the Rfam family "MIR812 microRNA precursor family". The record is from Rfam by way of RNAcentral. Lineage: Eukaryota; Viridiplantae; Streptophyta; Magnoliopsida; Poales; Poaceae.
UUUUCGUUUUUCCAUGUCUAACGUUUGACCAUUCGUCUUAUUUAAAAAAUUUAUACAAAAACUUAAAAAAAUUAGUCACAUAUAAAGUACUAUUUAUAUUUUAUCAUCUAGUAACAAUAAAAAUAUUAAUCAUAAAAAAAAUUCAAAUAAGACGAAUGGUCAAAUGUUAAACACGAAAAAAC